AUGAAGUGACACAGGCUAGCUUCUUGAUUGUUCCUCUCAGUCCGUGGCAAGCAAUUGUAAUGCCGUGCCAUUGUUCUCAAUAAUCAUGUUAUGCCUGCAGUGUUCCAGUCAUUAACUGUCUGUCAAAAGAACAGCUCUCAUCAGACAGACUAUUUCUCAUUUAAAACUUAACGCGGAGAAGCCUCAUUUCCUUCUAAAUGUCAUAAGGAAUGUUGCAGAGAAAGAAUAUUUGAAUAUCGCAGGCCCUGAGGCCUAGAGGAAGCCAGUAUGGACCUCCAGAAGAGCUUUAAAGGAAGUCACCCCUCAUUCUAGCUUGAAAAG
Non-coding RNA from Pogona vitticeps (central bearded dragon), 321 nucleotides. The record is from RefSeq and is a predicted model, not a curated record. NCBI's taxonomy places the organism in Eukaryota, Metazoa, Chordata, Lepidosauria, Squamata, Agamidae.